CAGCAGCCGCGGUAAUACGUAGGGUGCAAGCGUUAAUCGGAAUUACUGGGCGUAAAGCGUGCGCAGGCGGUUAUAUAAGACAGAUGUGAAAUCCCCGGGCUCAACCUGGGAACUGCAUUUGUGACUGUAUAGCUAGAGUACGGCAGAGGGGGAUGGAAUUCCGCGUGUAGCAGUGAAAUGCGUAGAUAUGCGGAGGAACACCGAUGGCGAAGGCAAUCCCCUGGGCCUGUACUGACGCUCAUGCACGAAAGCGUGGGGAGCAAACAGGAUUAGAUACCCUAGUAGUCCCUGUCUCUUAUAC
This 301-nucleotide ribosomal RNA is filed under the name uncultured bacterium. RNAcentral's name for it is "partial 16S ribosomal RNA". It matches the Rfam family "Bacterial small subunit ribosomal RNA", at positions 509 to 807 of the family's 1533-position model. The record is from RNAcentral.